UGCAGGAUGACGGUCCUAUGGAUUGUAAACUGCUUUUGUACAGGAAGAAACACUCCUUCGUGAAGGAGCUUGACGGUACCGUAAGAAUAAGGAUCGGCUAACUCCGUGCCAGCAGCCGCGGUAAUACGGAGGAUCCAAGCGUUAUCCGGAAUCAUUGGGUUUAAAGGGUCCGUAGGCGGUCUUGUAAGUCAGUGGUGAAAGCCCAUCGCUCAACGGUGGAACGGCCAUUGAUACUGCAGGACUUGAAUUAUUGGGAAGUAACUAGAAUAUGUAGUGUAGCGGUGAAAUGCUUAGAGAUUACAUGGAAUACCAAUUGCGAAGGCAGGUUACUACCAAUUGAUUGACGCUGAUGGACGAAAGCGUGGGUAGCGAACAGGAUUAGAUACCCUGGUAGUCCACGCCGUAAACGA
This 410-nucleotide ribosomal RNA is filed under the name uncultured bacterium. RNAcentral's name for it is "bacterial SSU rRNA". It matches the Rfam family "Bacterial small subunit ribosomal RNA", at positions 402 to 809 of the family's 1533-position model. The record is from RNAcentral.